GAAAAUUCAUGAAAAAUAGGAAAUCAGUGAAAUAAAAUGUGGGAAAAAUAAAAAUCAGAUGAAAAAAAAUAAAAGAGAAUUUUAAAAAUUAUUUUGGAUAAAAAAUGAAAUUACUAUGAAUUUUUAAAGAAAAAACAAUUAAAAUUAAUAAAAGAAAAAUAAUAGAAAUCAGAAAAAACACGGAGCGUUGGAUCACGCCUCAUUAAUUG
RNAcentral lists this long non-coding RNA (209 nucleotides) under Lathyrus oleraceus (garden pea). RNAcentral's name for it is "Pisum sativum (pea) long non-coding RNA (PSAT_LNC027334)". Lineage: Eukaryota; Viridiplantae; Streptophyta; Magnoliopsida; Fabales; Fabaceae. The record is from RNAcentral.